This 137-nucleotide ribosomal RNA is filed under the name uncultured bacterium. Its description in RNAcentral is "partial 16S ribosomal RNA". It matches the Rfam family "Bacterial small subunit ribosomal RNA", at positions 378 to 507 of the family's 1533-position model. The record is from RNAcentral.
CAAGCCUGAUCCAGCCACGCCGCGUGAGUGAAGAAGGCCUUCGGGUUGUAAAGCUCUUUCAGUUGAGAAGAAAAGAUUGUAACUAAUAAUUACGAUCCGUGACGGUAUCAACAGAAGAAGCACCGGCUAACUACGUG